Molecule: ribosomal RNA, 1011 nt
Filed under: uncultured bacterium
Lineage: Bacteria
Description: bacterial SSU rRNA
Rfam family: Bacterial small subunit ribosomal RNA
Source: RNAcentral
CUUGGGAAUUAAGCAUCGGCUAACUCCGGGCCAGCAGCCGCGGUAAUACGGAGGAUGCAAGCGUUAUCCGGAUUCAUUGGGUUUAAAGGGUGCGUAGGCGGAUUAAUAAGUCAGUGGUGAAAUCCUACAGCUUAACUGUAGAACUGCCAUUGAUACUGUUAGUCUUGAAUUUGGUUAAGGUAGGCGGAAUGUGUAAUGUAGCGGUGAAAUGCUUAGAUAUUACACAGAACACCAAUUGCGUAGGCAGCUUACUGGACCGACAUUGACGCUGAGGCACGAAAGCGUGGGGAUCGAACAGGAUUAGAUACCCUGGUAGCCCACGCCGUAAACGAUGAUUACUCGCUGUUGGCGAUACACAGUCAGCGGCUAAGCAAAAGCAAUAAGUAAUCCACCUGGGGAGUACGGCCGCAAGGUUGAAACUCAAAGGAAUUGACGGGGGCCCGCACAAGCGGAGGAACAUGUGGUUUAAUUCGAUGAUACGCGAGGAACCUUACCUGGGCUUAAAUGUAGAGUGCAUGAGGUGGAAACACUUCUUUCCUUCGGGACUCUUUGCAAGGUGCUGCAUGGUUGUCGUCAGCUCGUGCCGUGAGGUGUCGGGUUAAGUCCCAUAACGAGCGCAACCCUUAUCGUUAGUUGCCAGCGGGUAAUGCCGGGGACUCUAGCGAAACUGCCACCGUAAGGUGAGAGGAAGGUGGGGAUGACGUCAAAUCAGCACGGCCCUUAUGUCCAGGGCUACACACGUGUUACAAUGGCCGGUACAGAGGGCAGCUACCUGGUGACAGGAUGCUAAUCUCGAAAACCGGUCUCAGUUCGGAUCGAAGUCUGCAACUCGACUUCGUGAAGCUGGAUUCGCUAGUAAUCGCGCAUCAGCCAUGGCGCGGUGAAUACGUUCCCGGGCCUUGUACACACCGCCCGUCAAGCCAUGGAAGCUGGGGGUGCCUGAAGUCCGUAACCGAAGGGAGCGGCCUAGGGUAAAACUAGUGACUGGGGCUAAGUCGUAACAAGGUAGCC